GACGAACGCUGGCGGCGUGCCUAAUACAUGCAAGUUGAGCGCUGAAGGUUGGUACUUGUACCAACUGGAUGAGCAGCGAACGGGUGAGUAACGCGUGGGGAAUCUGCCUUUGAGCGGGGGACAACAUUUGGAAACGAAUGCUAAUACCGCAUAAAAACUUUAAACACAAGUUUUAAGUUUGAAAGAUGCAAUUGCAUCACUCAAAGAUGAUCCCGCGUUGUAUUAGCUAGUUGGUGAGGUAAAGGCUCACCAAGGCGAUGAUGCAUAGCCGACCUGAGAGGGUGAUCGGCCACAUUGGGACUGAGACACGGCCCAAACUCCUACGGGAGGCAGCAGUAGGGAAUCUUCGGCAAUGGACGAAAGUCUGACCGAGCAACGCCGCGUGAGUGAAGAAGGUUUUCGGAUCGUAAAACUCUGUUGGUAGAGAAGAACGUUAGUGAGAGUGGAAAGCUCAUCAAGUGACGGUAACUACCCAGAAAGGGACGGCUAACUACGUG
This 497-nucleotide ribosomal RNA is filed under the name uncultured bacterium. RNAcentral's name for it is "partial 16S ribosomal RNA". It matches the Rfam family "Bacterial small subunit ribosomal RNA", at positions 28 to 507 of the family's 1533-position model. The record is from RNAcentral.